AUGCACGCUGGCGGCGUGCCUAAUACAUGCAAGUCGAGCGAACAGAUGAGGAGCUUGCUCCUCUGACGUUAGCGGCGGACGGGUGAGUAACACGUGGAUAACCUACCUAUAAGACUGGGAUAACUUCGGGAAACCGGAGCUAAUACCGGAUAAUAUAUUGAACCGCAUGGUUCAAUAGUGAAAGACGGUUUUGCUGUCACUUAUAGAUGGAUCCGCGCCGCAUUAGCUAGUUGGUAAGGUAACGGCUUACCAAGGCAACGAUGCGUAGCCGACCUGAGAGGGUGAUCGGCCACACUGGAACUGAGACACGGUCCAGACUCCUACGGGAGGCAGCAGUAGGGAAUCUUCCGCAAUGGGCGAAAGCCUGACGGAGCAACGCCGCGUGAGUGAUGAAGGUCUUCGGAUCGUAAAACUCUGUUAUUAGGGAAGAACAAAUGUGUAAGUAACUAUGCACGUCUUGACGGUACCUAAGCAGAAAGCCCGGCUAACUACGUG
RNAcentral lists this ribosomal RNA (495 nucleotides) under uncultured bacterium. RNAcentral's name for it is "partial 16S ribosomal RNA". It matches the Rfam family "Bacterial small subunit ribosomal RNA", at positions 29 to 507 of the family's 1533-position model. The record is from RNAcentral.